AACUAAGCAGAGACCAUGAGCUGGGCAGAGGGCGGUGUCUGAGUCAGGAAGGGGUUUUGUGGCUGAAAAACUUGUAGCCACAAAAUAAUGGAGUCCUGAGCUGGACCUUGACAACAUAUGCAAGUUUCAUUUUGUCUGUACUAGACGUGUACAGUUUUGACCGACAAAAGAACAGGGGGAGGAGAAAGAAGGGGAAGGGCUAUGAGGUGAAAGGCAGAUCAGAAAUAAGCCCAGCUUGGAAGAAAGUGAGGAUCCCAACCUGGCAGAGAAAGAGGAGCUGAUGAAGGAGACUAGAGAAGGACCCGUCUGGAAAUACAGAACUUGGUCCAAGUAAAGGAGGACCUUGAAGGAAAUACACCUGAGAGACCAAAUGCAUACAAUGAAUCCAGCAAUUACCAACCACCAUGGGCGGACAGCAAAUGCUCAAACAACAAAACACCCAAGGAUGGGCGGCUGCUGGCUUCUGACUUUCCUCAUGGGGAUGGGGGUCCCAGAUCUGGGUCUAGGACUCCCUCCCACUUCUGUCCUGGGACAGCUGAUUUCAAUACUGCCAAAGACGUGGAACUUUUCUUAAGAAGGUUUGGUGGGUAAAUCCCCAUUUAGAAUAAAGGCCUAUUUCUUAUCCUCUGAGCUGGAUAAGCUAUUCAGGCAGAGAACAACCUUUGAAGUUAAGGGAAACUGUGCUAUCAAGCCAAACGUGAAAUAAAAUCAGAAGGGGACCCCUAAUGCAUUAUGGAAUACAACGCAGAAUUUGGCCGAAGGUGAUGCUAAUUUUCUGCUCUUGUCAAUGAAAAACAGACGCCAGGACGACUUGCUUGCAUUCAUCUGAAUCCACAUGGCAGCGUCAGAAAGCUGGUCUCAUGGAUCCAUGGAAAUAAUUUUGAUAACUUUAACUCCAUUUCCAGUUGCAGCAUAUUUUGCAUCAAAAAAUGUAUGGAGGAUGGAAGACCCUUUUCACGCAGCAGCUGGGACAGAGUAUUGCUCAGACACAGCCAGCCUGGUGAGCACAGGCAAACUGGACAUUGGAAGACCCAGCUGCACAAAGACUCCUUCCUGUGAGAGGCUUGGAGAAGACUUUGCUCUAGACACACAAGGGAGCCUGUGGGAAGGUGCCAGGGGAGCCAAGAAGAGCAAAACCAAGGAGGCAUUGUUUCCUCCAGAGCCUCAUUCAUCAACUCGCUCUGAACAGUUAGCACGCUCAGACAGUCAUCUUCUGCACCUUGCCUUUCCCUGUGUCUUGACUGAGGGCUUAUCUGAGAGCCUUUUGUUCAGGCUCAUAAUUAUUCAGUGACUCAGGAGCCCACAAGCAUUACCCACGGAGCCAGACAAGACCAGCAAGCUCUGAGGACCACCUGUUCCAAGUCAUUUCCUGUGUGGGCGGCAACUUCACAGGGCUGAAAAUACGAGUUACGGUAAAAAUGUCUUCAACCCUGGCGCGCUGGAUUGUUGAAACUCGAUGGAAUCUUGCUUGAUUAUGUUCAGGCCAGACACAUUUCAUUAUCAUUCUUUGCAUAUAUAUUAAAAACUCUAACCCCUUUACAAACAAAUGUUCUCAAGGGGCAGACAGCACACCCUUGCCUCAUGACAUUGCUCUAAUAGAGAAAACACCCCAGUGUUUCACCCAUUAGGUCAGAUCCACGAACACAGAGUGCAGUUGGGAAGGAUGUGGGCAGUAAUGAAGGUGGUGCUUUUUGCUCCUGUGGGUGCUAUGGACAGGUGAGGGUUCAAGGAUAUUAACAACAAAUUUUAAGCCAUACCUUACACUACAUUGGAGCUUAAUCAAAUUCUCUGUUCACAGUAUGCCUAAAUUGGCCAAUGGAACGGAAAAAAAAAAAAAAAGCAACCCACCCCCAAGAGUUAUUUAUGUCAUGUAGACAAAACCUGGGUUCGUUGACUGAUUAUUUCCACUCUCUAGUGAUGGUCGUUGCAUUUUCACUCUGAGUUGAAUUGCUGCAUUUUUCCAUAAAUAUAUCUGCUCCUCUGGAAGAAGCUUUGUUGCUUAGCCUUAUUGCCCUUCACGUCUGCCUUUCUGACCUCAUAGACUGUCAAGUUCUUAGUUGGUGACUAAAGUAUAAAAGUAAUUUCUUUCUCUCUUUUUUAAAAUUAUUAAAGCCACACAUGCUCACUACAGAAAAGUUAGAAUGUAGAUAUGUGUGAAGAAAAGAAAAAUUAGCCAUUAGGCCCACAAUCUAGGGAAAACUCAUUUUGGGCAUUUGGAUGGCUUUAAUAUGCAUUCACUAUUAAAUGAUGAAUAUGAUAUUAUACAUAGUAUACUAAUAUAUUAUGAUGAUGGAUCAGUGCUGAUGUGUUUUAACAUAAAUGUAUAUGUUAGUAAUGCUGCUGUUUUAUCUUAACAGUUUUUCAAACUUGCAUUGUUUUGCCCUUCAGCUAAAAGGGUAGGGAAUUUGCUAGGGAUAUAAAUUCAUUAAUCAUAAAAAUUAUGUCAUAACAGCCUGCACAGAAAUCACAAUAGGAUGCAGGACAUAGAUUAGACUAGAGUUGAGAUUCUUGCCCCAACCACAACUGUUCAGGCUUU
RNAcentral lists this long non-coding RNA (2536 nucleotides) under Homo sapiens (human). RNAcentral describes it as "HSALNT0273152". Lineage: Eukaryota; Metazoa; Chordata; Mammalia; Primates; Hominidae. The record is from RNAcentral.